AGAGUUUGAUCCUGGCUCAGAAUCAACGCUGGCGGCGUGCCUAACACAUGCAAGUCGAGCGAGAAAAGGGGGGCAACUCCCUGAGUAAAGCGGCGCACGGGUGAGUAACACGUGGGUAAUCUGCCCUGAAGUGGGGAAUAACACCGGGAAACCGGUGCUAAUACCACAUACGAUAACGAGGUCUGCGGACUUCGUUAUGA
Molecule: ribosomal RNA, 200 nt
Filed under: uncultured bacterium
Lineage: Bacteria
Description: partial 16S ribosomal RNA
Rfam family: Bacterial small subunit ribosomal RNA
Source: RNAcentral